GAUGAACGCUAGCGGCAGGCUUAAUACAUGCAAGUCGAGGGGCAGCAUGAAUGUAGCAAUACAUUUGAUGGCGACCGGCAAACGGGUGCGGAACACGUACACAACCUGCCUAUAAGUGGGGAAUAGCCCAGAGAAAUUUGGAUUAAUACCCCGUAACAUAAUGAUGUGGCAUCACAUUAUUAUUAUAGCUACGGCGCUUAUUGAUGGGUGUGUGGCUGAUUAGAUAGUUGGCGGGGUAACGGCCCACCAAGUCUACGAUCAGUAGCUGAUGUGAGAGCAUGAUCAGCCACACGGGCACUGAGACACGGGCCCGACUCCUACGGGAGGCAGCAGUAAGGAAUAUUGGUCAAUGGACGCAAGUCUGAACCAGCCAUGCCGCGUGAAGGAUUAAGGUCCUCUGGAUUGUAAACUUCUUUUAUCUGGGACGAAAAAAGGCUAUUCUUAGUCACUCGACGGUACCAGAUGAAUAAGCACCGGCUAACUCCGUGCCAGCAGCCGCGGUAA
RNAcentral lists this ribosomal RNA (504 nucleotides) under uncultured bacterium. Its description in RNAcentral is "partial 16S ribosomal RNA". It matches the Rfam family "Bacterial small subunit ribosomal RNA", at positions 28 to 523 of the family's 1533-position model. The record is from RNAcentral.